This 408-nucleotide ribosomal RNA is filed under the name Triticum aestivum (bread wheat). RNAcentral describes it as "partial small subunit ribosomal RNA". Lineage: Eukaryota; Viridiplantae; Streptophyta; Magnoliopsida; Poales; Poaceae. The record is from RNAcentral.
AUGUUCACCGUGAAGAUGUUCGACAACACCAUGUGCCGCAUGUACUACCAGCACGACGACGAUGCCAGCAAUGGGAGCAGCAGCGGGGAUGACGAGGAGCAGAGCGGGGAUGAUGACAAGGAGCAGAGCGGGGAUGACGAGGAGCAGCCUAUUCUGGCUAAUGACGAACAUGCUAUGGUGGUGGCUGACGACGAGCCUGCUAUGUUGGUGGUGGAUGACCACCUUUCUAUGGUGGUGGCGGACGACGACCUCACGAUGGUGGUGGCGAACGACGACCUCGCGAUGGUGGCGGCGCCUGCAAUCCCACAACUUGGCGACAGGACCAUGCCAAUUGUGGUAGAGGAGUACAUCCGCGUUGGGAUUCGCCACUCUGAGCGCAUCAGGUUGAUGAAGGAGAAGGAGGAGUGA